AGCCCCGUGGUGUAGUGGCCAAGCAUAGCUGGCUCUGGACCAGUUGACGGCGGUUCGAAUCCGCCCGGGGCUA
Molecule: transfer RNA, 73 nt
Filed under: Nitrososphaeria archaeon
Lineage: Archaea; Thermoproteati; Nitrososphaerota; Nitrososphaeria
Also listed under: 2 other names
Description: tRNA-Gln
Rfam family: tRNA
About the family: Transfer RNA (tRNA) molecules are approximately 80 nucleotides in length.
Source: RNAcentral